RNAcentral lists this ribosomal RNA (253 nucleotides) under uncultured bacterium. RNAcentral's name for it is "partial 16S ribosomal RNA". It matches the Rfam family "Bacterial small subunit ribosomal RNA", at positions 524 to 776 of the family's 1533-position model. The record is from RNAcentral.
UACGAAGGGGGCUAGCGUUGCUCGGAAUCACUGGGCGUAAAGGGUGCGUAGGCGGGUUUUUAAGUCAGGGGUGAAAUCCUGGAGCUCAACUCCAGAACUGCCUUUGAUACUGAAGAUCUUGAGUUCGGAAGAGGGUCGUGGAAUUCCCAGUGUAGAGGUGAAAUUCGUAGAUAUUGGGAAGAACACCGGUGGCGAAGGCGGCGACCUGGUCCGAAACUGACGCUGAGGCGCGAAAGCGUGGGGAGCAAACAGG